GCAUCAAUCUUUAUUAAAUAUAUUUGUAAUAAUAUAUCUUUGGUAUAAAAUUAGUUUCUGUUCCCUGUACAGUACUGAGAGGAAUAUUGUUAUUUUUAAAAUAAUGUGAAUUUAAGGUCUAUCUCUUAAUCAUGUUCCCAAGAUUUAUUACAGGUAAAAUUUUUAUCUAGGCAUGAGCUGACAGGGUGAAAAAAUUUUUUUAAUGAUGUUAUCUAGUAUUUACAGAGUAAAAUUCUAUGCUGUUACAUUGACUGUUUAAUUGGUAGCUCUGUACUCUAUAUAAAAUACGUAAUGAACUUAAAGAUUCUUUCCACAAAGUUGUAGAAAUUGUACAAUUUUUAAAAAAUAACAUCAGUCUCUUUUCUUACAGUGUAAGUACUGAGUUUUCCAACUUUCUCUGAUUUGACAUAUACCUUGUUUUAUAAAUACCUUUGACCUUUUCAAAAAUGUUUUUGAACCUCAACCAUAUUAUCAGUUACAUUAAAUACUUUGGAAGAUCUUGAUAUGACAAUUCAUGGUAAAUUGGGCAGAAAGGAAAAUGAAAUAAUUUAUGAAGAACAGGGUAUUUACCAAUUAGUGUACCCCCUUUUAAAAUCAUUGGUAUAUUUUGAAGAAAGAGUGAUUUCAGAAAACGCGUUUCAUUUAACUUAAUGAACUAGGUGUUAAAGUCUCUUUUUGCCCAGCUGACAAGUUUUGGUUCCUCAGGAUUUAAUACAGAGUAUUAUUGCUUUGAAAAGCAAA
RNAcentral lists this long non-coding RNA (741 nucleotides) under Homo sapiens (human). RNAcentral's name for it is "HSALNT0088749". The record is from RNAcentral. Lineage: Eukaryota; Metazoa; Chordata; Mammalia; Primates; Hominidae.